Molecule: Y RNA, 92 nt
Organism: Callithrix jacchus (white-tufted-ear marmoset)
Lineage: Eukaryota; Metazoa; Chordata; Mammalia; Primates; Cebidae
Rfam family: Y RNA
About the family: Y RNAs are components of the Ro ribonucleoprotein particle (Ro RNP), in association with Ro60 and La proteins. The Y RNAs and Ro60 and La proteins are well conserved, but the function of the Ro RNP is not known.
Source: Ensembl
GGCUGGCCCGAUGAUAGUGGGUUAUCAGAAGUGAUUAACAGUGUCACUAAAGUUGGUAUACAAAACCCACUGCUAAAUUUGGCUUUUUAUUU